AUGCUUGACUUGUUACCUAAAGGCUUAAAAAGGAUCAGAGGCAAUACAACUCUGGUUUGUUUCGUAGAGGAGGCGUAUUUCUCAGGCAGCAGUGAGACUUCUCUUGCUCCUGCUAACGGCAUCGGAUGCACAGAGGCUGCAGGAGUGGGAACGAUACAAGUGACACUGCCAUUCAUCUUCAAAACAGAAACAUUAUUAGGAGACCUUCCAUGUCUGUGUGGAAGAGGAGGGUGGCAGGUUAGACUCCAAAGGAACAUAAAGCAUAGCAGUGCAUGCCUGGCUCUGAAAAGGCAACGGUCUUCACCUGGUAUCAACUAUGGGAGCAUUUUAAUUUCAUAUUGCACCCUUGUGCAGCAUGAGAGCAGCUGUGAGGGAUGGGGAGGCAGGGGGCAGAGACACCACCCUCAGACAUGGGUUUUGCAGGUCUGUGCCACCCCUUAA
RNAcentral lists this long non-coding RNA (441 nucleotides) under Anser cygnoides (Swan goose). RNAcentral describes it as "lncRNA (ENSACDG00005004643.1)". Lineage: Eukaryota; Metazoa; Chordata; Aves; Anseriformes; Anatidae. The record is from RNAcentral.